RNAcentral lists this ribosomal RNA (706 nucleotides) under uncultured soil bacterium. RNAcentral's name for it is "bacterial SSU rRNA". It matches the Rfam family "Bacterial small subunit ribosomal RNA", at positions 34 to 737 of the family's 1533-position model. The record is from RNAcentral.
CGCUGGCGGCAUGCCUUACACAUGCAAGUCGAACGGCAGCGCGGGGCAACCUGGCGGCGAGUGGCGAACGGGUGAGUAAUAUAUCGAAACGUACCCUGGAGUGGGGGAUAACGUAGCGAAAGUUACGCUAAUACCGCAUACGAUCUAAGGAUGAAAGUGGGGGAUCGCAAGACCUCAUGCUCCUGGAGCGGCCGAUAUCUGAUUAGCUAGUUGGUAGGGUAAAAGCCUACCAAGGCAUCGAUCAGUAGCUGGUCUGAGAGGACGACCAGCCACACUGGAACUGAGACACGGUCCAGACUCCUACGGGAGGCAGCAGUGGGGAAUUUUGGACAAUGGGCGAAAGCCUGAUCCAGCAAUGCCGCGUGAGUGAAGAAGGCCUUCGGGUUGUAAAGCUCUUUUGUCAGGGAAGAAACGGUGAGAGCUAAUAUCUCUUGCUAAUGACGGUACCUGAAGAAUAAGCACCGGCUAACUACGUGCCAGCAGCCGCGGUAAUACGUAGGGUGCAAGCGUUAAUCGGAAUUACUGGGCGUAAAGCGUGCACAGGCGGUUUUGUAAGUCUGUCGUGAAAUCCCCGGGCUCAACCUGGGAAUGGCGAUGGAGACUGCAAGGCUAGAGUUUGGCAGAGGGGGGUAGAAUUCCACGUGUAGCAGUGAAAUGCGUAGAUAUGUGGAGGAACAUCGAUGGCGAAGGCAGCCCCCUGGGUCAA